GUCGCGCUUCCUACUCCCACUCCGUUUCCUCCUCGUUUGGAUUCUAUCCCUCCGACGAUCCAAAAUCAGCGAUCGCAUUCACCCUUCCUUCCUCUUCCUCUCUCUCUCUCUCCCCGUUUGCAAGUAGAGUUUGCCAUACUGGGCAAGCCUUGCCCCACACUCCUCUCCAUAUAAUCCGUCCAUUCACCUUCCUUCCUCUUCCUCUCUCUCUCUCGCUCUCCGUUUGCAAGUCGAGUUUGCCAUACUGGGCAAGCCUUGCCCCACACUCCUCUCCAUAUAAUCCGCCCAUUCACCCUUCCUUCCUCUUCCUCUCUCUCUCUCUCUCUCUCUCUCUCUCUCUCCGUUUGUAAGUAGAGUUUGCCAUACUGGGCAAGCCAUGCCCCACACUCCUCUCCAUAUAAUCCGCCCAUUCACCCUCCUCGCCCCAACCUAGUUUCUUGGCCGCCGACGCGGGUUCCGCGAUUACCGUCAUAUGCAUUCUCUUUCUCCAAUCGCAAGUCGUUGGCGUUUGCUUUCUUCUUCUUGUUACUGAUCUUGAUGCUAUUUCGGUGUUUCGUAGUUCUGGUGAGCUGGGAUGGGUUCGCCUGCGAAGGAGUCCGCUUUCGCCUCCACCUCCGAAGCUGCGGCGCCUCAAGAACUGCAGCCUCCGGUGUGGGCGCUGGAAACCGCAGCGGCAGCGGCAGCCAAGGGGAGGGCAGUGCCGUCUGUCUUCCUGCGGACCCAGAUGACGCCUUAUCCGGCUCCUACAAUCCAGGAGAGGCCUCUGCCGCAGGUGGAGGAGGAGAGGAACGAGAGUCCCGCAAGCAAAGCAGAGGGAUCUCAAGAGAAAUCUGGACGUGUUGACAGAAAAUCCUCUGCGUCUGGAAAGAAUUCUAGCUCUAGCUACGUUGAUCACGAUGAAUGGAAGGGCUUCUUGUCAUCUAGAAAGAGAAGAUACGAAGACAUAGUCACCAAGGGUGAAGCUUUACAUCUGGUAACUGCUGAUCAACAUAAUGGUGUCGACAUCGAAGCAUCUGAUGUUAGAGGGGAGCAUUCUGUCAAAACGCUGUCAGUUUCACCAGAAUCACUACUGCUAAGGGCAUUGCCACCUGGUUCUGAAACUGAAUUGAACACAGAGAUCAACCAAUGUAGUUAUCCAUCACCACUGCUAGGAAAUGACCCGGUUGCGCAUAAACAACAGCGGUUGCAGGAUGACGACGAAUUCAGGGAGAGAAGAAAACAGGCAAAUAGGGAGUCAGCAAGAAGGUCAAGAAUACGUAAAAGGCAAGAAUACGAGGACUCAGCAAGGAUGAUGGCCGUAUUGAAAAAUGAGAAUGAUGUACUCAGAGCAAAGAAUGAAAUUCUCAUGAAAAGGAUCAAGGAUUUAGAAGCUGGAAGCAUAAGAAUCAUGGAGAUAUUGAGCAGACUUUACUGGCCUGCUGAUACGUUGGAUGUACUGGGCAUCAGACCGUCGUAGAAGUUUUCAAGACACGACAAUCCUGAAUGUGCUUCUAGGUGAAUACAUUCCUGUUGCUUGGACCCUGCAAGCUUGAACCCCUGACACUUGCUUACUGAUGAAGUUAGUCAGGAGAGGACUCUGAGCCAAGAUGGGUAAAGAUAAUUCAAGAAGAUGCCAAGCUGCUGCUUGUGAGAAGGCAAAAAACAUGCAAACCGAUUGAUGUUUAAUGGUCCAAUGAUACACAGAUGUGAAAUGUAUAGUUAUUUUUUGUUUUAGUUUUAUUUGAUAUACGAUACCGUAUCGAUCUAAUAGAUUAUCAAAACCAGUUCUGGAUUGAUGAUUACAUCUUUGGUCAGCAAUACGAGUAGAUACUUCAACUUUUGCA
This is an RNA transcript of Musa acuminata AAA Group (dessert banana), 1823 nucleotides long. It is a transcript of the gene named DNA-binding protein EMBP-1, with no coding region annotated. The transcript is spliced from 9 exons. Lineage: Eukaryota; Viridiplantae; Streptophyta; Magnoliopsida; Zingiberales; Musaceae. The record is from RefSeq and is a predicted model, not a curated record.